UACUUGUGGAUUAUUGUGAUGUUUUUAUCAGCUGUUUGGACUCUCAUUCUGACGGCACCCAUUCACUGCAGAGCAUCCAUUGCUGAGACACUGAUGCUGUGCUACAUUUCUACAAACCUGAUGAAGACACAAACUCAUCCUAAUCUUAGACGAACCGAGGUUGAGCACAUUUUUCAGCAUGCUCAUUUCUUAGUGAACUUCUCUAAAGUCAGUACAUACUGGAGUCAUUAGAAAGCAUGUGUUUAAUGAAGAGGUUCUGCUCAUCUCUUGGUGAUUUCAGCUCUGUUCUUUGCUCUAGUACCGUAUGAAGACAUCAACAUGUGCAAUACAAGAUUUUGCUUUAAUCGAAUCGUGACUUGUUUCUUUCUUGGCUGUAUCUCUCUCCAUGUUUUCCGCAUGAAGAGUCCUGGAAGUGUCUCAUCUCGUGUCCGAAUGGAGUGUGGUCUUCUACUUGGAAAUUUCAAAUCUUAUGCAGCAGACUGAAGUAACAAACCAAUUUCCCCUCUGAACGCUGAGAACAGUCGCUCAAGACGGCCGUCAACGGCUGACUAUCUAAAUGCAAAUGCAGAUGAUAAUUCCAAGAGCCCCGACACCAAAUGAGGUUAUUCAAGCCGCGUCACACUGGAAACUGGCUUGUUUGAAAUUCCCCUCAGGACACGGGAAGUGACCACAAUCCUGGGAAAUAAUUCAAUGAUAGUGCAGCAGUGAUGGAAGAAAAACUGAAAACUCAUUUGAGCAAAGUAUAUUCGUCAUCAAACACGGACGAGGAGAGAUUGAUCAUGCAAGUUGAGAAAUGCCAGAUUUUCUCAAAGUUUCUCAUCACAAUGAUGCCGCCUGGAGAAACAUCUCAGGAAAAUACAAGAGCUGAAGAACGACACACAUCAGCUGUGAGAACACAAACACACAUGCCAGAGAUUCCAGCGACACGACCAGGAAAAAUUCCCAUAAUGCUUUCACCGUGACGCGUCAGAACCACAUCACCCUCACAUUUUCUUGACACAGCUUUUACAACAUGCAUUACUAAUAAUUCUGUGAGUUUUGUC
Molecule: long non-coding RNA, 1043 nt
Organism: Cyprinus carpio (common carp)
Lineage: Eukaryota; Metazoa; Chordata; Actinopteri; Cypriniformes; Cyprinidae
Exons: 3
Source: RefSeq, a predicted model, not a curated record